GAUGAACGCUAGCGGGAGGCUUAACACAUGCAAGUCGAGGGGCAGCAUAGGGUAGCAAUACUCUGAUGGCGACCGGCAAACGGGUGAGUAACGCGUAUGCAACCUACCCUGUACAGGGGGAUAACCCGGAGAAAUUCGGACUAAUAUCCCGUAAUAAUAUCCGGAGGCAUCUUUGGAUAUUUAAAGUUCCGACGGUACGGGAUGGGCAUGCGUAACAUUAGCUGGUUGGUAAGGUAACGGCUUACCAAGGCUAUGAUGUUUAGGGGUCCUGAGAGGGUGGUCCCCCACACUGGUACUGAGACACGGACCAGACUCCUACGGGAGGCAGCAGUGAGGAAUAUUGGUCAAUGGGCGCAAGCCUGAACCAGCCAUCCCGCGUGCAGGAAGACGGCCCUAUGGGUUGUAAACUGCUUUUCCAGGGAGAGAAACUUACGCACGUGUUGCGUGACUGACGGUACCCUGGGAAUAAGCAUCGGCUAACUCCGUGCCAGCAGCCGCGGUAAAACGUCUA
This 511-nucleotide ribosomal RNA is filed under the name uncultured bacterium. RNAcentral describes it as "bacterial SSU rRNA". It matches the Rfam family "Bacterial small subunit ribosomal RNA", at positions 28 to 531 of the family's 1533-position model. The record is from RNAcentral.